UUUACAACUCCCAAACCCCAAUGUGAACGUUACCAAUCUGUUGCCUCGGCGGGAUUCUCUUGCCCCGGGCGCGUCGCAGCCCCGGAUCCCAUGGCGCCCGCCGGAGGACCAACCCAAACUCUUUUUUUACAACCACGGUCGCAGGCUUCCGUCGCGGCUCUGUUUUAUUUUUUGCUCUGAGCCUUUCUCGGCGACCCUAGCGGGCGUCUCGAAAAUGAAUCAAAACUUUCAACAACGGAUCUCUUGGUUCUGGCAUCGAUGAAGAACGCAGCGAAAUGCGAUAAGUAAUGUGAAUUGCAGAAUUCAGUGAAUCAUCGAAUCUUUGAACGCACAUUGCGCCCGCCAGUAUUCUGGCGGGCAUGCCUGUCCGAGCGUCAUUUCAACCCUCGAACCCCUCCGGGGGGUCGGCGUUGGGNGAUCGGCCCCUCACCGGGCCGCCCCCGAAAUCCAGUGGCGGUCUCGCCGCAGCCUCUCCUGCGCAGUAGUUUGCACACUCGCACCGGGAGCGCGGCGCGGCCACAGCCGUAAAACGCACCAAACUCUGAAAUGUUGACCUCGGAUCAGGUAGGAAUACCCGCUGAACUUAAGCAUAUCAA
This 596-nucleotide ribosomal RNA is filed under the name Trichoderma sp. OY7107. Its description in RNAcentral is "eukaryotic LSU rRNA". The stretch from base 224 to 377 matches the Rfam family "5.8S ribosomal RNA". Lineage: Eukaryota; Fungi; Ascomycota; Sordariomycetes; Hypocreales; Hypocreaceae. The record is from RNAcentral.